GACAAGGUCAGCCAGCUGCAUAUAGAAGACAUGUAUAUUCCAGUUGCAAAAUAGUAGGAGUAUCACAACACUAAAGAUUCAAACUUAUUAUUUAAGUGACCAUGUUGUAACAGCAUGCUCUCCUCUACCCUGCUUCUCACCUUCAGUCUGGCCAUUGCCUUGCCCAAAUGCUGCCAGUUGCACCAAAGGCCUCGCUCAGGCAGAUUGUGGCCGAUGUGCUGGCUACACCCAAAGCACAGCAAGGAGGAGCCAGGCAGAACUUCAGGCAGGCCAGUAGGCCUCUGAGCUCUUACACACAGCAGCUGGCUGCAUGGCAGGAUCUCCCCUUGAGUUUGGAUUCUUGUCAAGGCCAAGCCUGCUGCAAAGAUCCCUUACUCCUCACAACUCCUUGAUGCAACAGAACGUUGCGCACAGAGAGAAGCGGAGAAUUCAAGAUGACAGACUGCAGCAAGCCCUCCUGGUGCUCAGCACCCAGGGAGAAGGAUCACUGUUAAUGAGCUGUGGGCAGAAGAUGGUUUGCCCAUUCCUGCCUUACAGAAAGUAAAAUGCGAUGCUUCAUUCCUUUUCCAUUAAGAACAGCUGCAUGGAUGAUUUAUUUUGAAAAGAUUCCUUAGAGAACAUUUUGUAAGACAACAAUUAUAAAUUAAGGCACAAUUAUAAUUUAUAUCAAGUUCUUCUGGUCUUUUAUGGCCUGACGCUUUAUUAGAGCUACUAUUAGCAACUCCCUGCAGAGCCUCUUUUUGUAAUCAAAAUGACAAUUCAUAUCAUCACUGGUAAACACUGUUUGAAAUGUAAUACAAUACUUCUUUGACAGAGGCAUUGUCAGUUUUAAAUUUACAGCUUGAACCAACACUAUAAAAAUCAAUGGAAAACCUCAGCAAAUUCAGAGUGCUUCUGAUCAGGACAAGAGUGAUGUAAAUGAGUAAUUAAAUGCUUCAAAUUACAUUUCUAUACUGAUAUGAAAAUCAAACCAAUCCUUUGUAGAUGUGCUGUUAUAGGGUGUGAUCCUGCUUUCUGGUGCUUUUUAGGCCUGAUGCACUCCUUCCAGUUAGUUCUUACCACAAAACCCAUAGGCAGCCUCAGGAGCAUUCCUUCUCCUGCAGUAACAUCCACAGGAGUGUCCAUACCCAGUUUUUUUCUUGUUCUUUGUUGAUGUCCCCAUCCCAUGAUUCCAGUGUUCCUUUCCACACUGAGAAGCUAACACUGUCACUGAUUAAAUUAUCCGCCCUAGCAGCUUAGACAUGCUUGUACCCAAUGGUCAUAGCAUUCUUUUGUGAGUAGGAGUUCAGGAUUCAAGUACCUUCAGUAAAAACUAUGAAUUCCACUUCCUUAGUGCCCUGAUCACUAUGUCACUUAUAAGAGAUGGUCAGCAUUUCUUUACUUUGAACUAAAUUCAUCAUUCUUGGCGUGUAAUUCAGAUGCUUAAUCAAUCAACCCCUUCCAAGGAUCUAUGCAUAGUUUACACACUUCUCUUCCUGCCUCUAAGAUCCAACAAAGCUCAGAUGGAGACUUUAUAUUUCUGAAUAGUGACAUGACAGCAAGUG
Molecule: long non-coding RNA, 1544 nt
Filed under: Anas platyrhynchos platyrhynchos (common mallard)
Lineage: Eukaryota; Metazoa; Chordata; Aves; Anseriformes; Anatidae
Description: lncRNA (ENSAPLG00000019325.1)
Source: RNAcentral